RNAcentral lists this ribosomal RNA (492 nucleotides) under uncultured bacterium. Its description in RNAcentral is "partial 16S ribosomal RNA". It matches the Rfam family "Bacterial small subunit ribosomal RNA", at positions 29 to 507 of the family's 1533-position model. The record is from RNAcentral.
AGUGAACGCUGGCGGUAGGCCUAACACAUGCAAGUCGAACGGCAGCACAGUAAGAGCUUGCUCUUACGGGUGGCGAGUGGCGGACGGGUGAGGAAUACAUCGGAAUCUACUUUUUCGUGGGGGUUAACGUAGGGAAACUUACGCUAAUACCGCAUACGACCUACGGGUGAAAGCAGGGGAUCUUCGGACCUUGCGCGAUUGAAUGAGCCGAUGUCGGAUUAGCUAGUUGGCGGGGUAAAGGCCCACCAAGGCGACGAUCCGUAGCUGGUCUGAGAGGAUGAUCGGCCACACUGGAACUGAGACACGGUCCAGACUCCUGCGGGAGGCAGCAGUGGGGAAUAUUGGACAGUGGGGGCAAGCCUGAUCCAGCCGUACCGCGUGGGUGAAGAAGGCCUUCGGGUUGUAAAGCCCUUUUGUUGGGAAAGAAAAGCAGCAGGUUAAUACCCCGCUGUUCUGACGGUACCCAAAGAAUAAGCACCGGCUAACUUCGUG